This 492-nucleotide ribosomal RNA is filed under the name Neogloboquadrina incompta. RNAcentral's name for it is "bacterial SSU rRNA". It matches the Rfam family "Eukaryotic small subunit ribosomal RNA", at positions 1210 to 1464 of the family's 1831-position model. The record is from RNAcentral. Lineage: Eukaryota; Foraminifera; Rotaliida; Globorotaliidae.
AAAUCUUACCAGGUCCGGACACACUGAGGAUUGACAGGAAGUAUCGUCUUUUGAAAUCUUUAAGCACAUGUCGUUUCUAAUGACAUCUUUUAGAUGAAUGAUUCGUGUAAAUAUGCUAGUUCUUUCAUGAUUAUGUGAUAGGUGGUGCAUGGCCGUUCUUAGUUCGUGGAGUGAUCUGUCUGCUUAAUUGCGUUUCACUAUGGCCCCAAAGUUAGCAAGUUAUCCAAUCAUGACCUUCGUCGACCCCUCACCUUUGAGUGCGCGUCCUAGCUUAGAGUACAUGGUGUAAAUGGACUUGUUUUGGGUACCCAGAAAGCAACGAACGUGACCGCAACGUCUUGUUGUCUCUCUUUUGACAGUUAUGGGUUAUCCCAGUCAUGUGUUUAUACUUUUAUGUGUAAAUACGUACGACACAGAGACUAGAUACCAAACUAGGCGUACCGCUGUAUCAUUUCUUUAAACCAGAGGAAGGUUGCGGCAAUAACAGGUCUG